Molecule: long non-coding RNA, 2530 nt
Filed under: Rattus norvegicus (Norway rat)
Lineage: Eukaryota; Metazoa; Chordata; Mammalia; Rodentia; Muridae
Description: uncharacterized LOC100910189
Source: RNAcentral
AAUUUGUUUGACUCUUUGGAAACAACAAACAGAAGUUUAGUACUUUCAGGAUUUAAUCACUAAUAUCAGUAAGUAUAUGCAUGGCAUGCUGAAACCUGGAGAACCAUGGCAUCUUCAAACCUGGAGAAGAUUCACAGAUACUGGAGUCACCGUGAAUCUGAUGAGUAUACAAAAUUUGAUAAAAAGAAGAGAUGGCUCCCCGAAGCAUUUGACAAUACAAAACACGAUUGAAGAAACUAGAUGUGUUUGUUCUGAGAAACUGGAACUCUCAGCGACUGCACGCUCCUCAGUCAGUCUGACCUGUUCAUAGAUGCUGACAUGCUGUAACUCCUAGGUCAGACACAGAGGACAUGCUAGAGCGCUAUCUUCCUGUCUCUUGCCAACUUCCAUGGGACAACUCCGGGUUGGUUGUAGCUAAGCAUGUACACACAGUGGGUUGCUUAAUGGGAGAGGAAUCUUGAAGUUGGGAAAUGCCAGUCUUCUGUAAUGGGCUACAAGCAAAACUGUUCAGUUGUUUUCCUAGGAGGAGCAGAUAGCAUCUCAACACAGACCUCUUCACAAAGAGAAGCACCUUGCCCUUUGCUGGAAAUCACUCAGAAACAUGAGAGGCCCGUGGAGAAUGGCUUUCAGUAGUAACUACAUCCUCAGAGCAGUCACGUGGAAGCCUAGUAGGAAUCGCUGUCAUUCCAGAUGCAAAACAAUUGCUGUCAUUCCAGAUGCAAAACAAGAUCUAGUGAUGAAAAGUGCAGGACAGGACGUGCCGGCUGAUAAGGAUGUGCUUUCUACGGAGCAGAGCACGAGAGAAUGUAAUGGAUGCCUUGUGAAGUUAAGUGAGGUCAGGAUGAAGCCUGCCUGCCCUUUGUCACUGGCGAACGAUGCAUGUAACAGAGAAACGGAAUACUUCCACAGGCCUCUUCCCACACUCGAAUUAGCAGAGUGCAGUGGUACCCUCCAUGUUGAAGACCCCAGAUAGUCCUGAAUCCCCCAGAUACUCAAGUGUUUCCUCUGCUUCUAUCCUUAUGAUAAGGCUCCCAUUAAAGUCUCAACAAUGACAGAAUAACUAUAAUGGCAACGUGUGACUUUUUAAAAAUGAUGGGAAUGUUAUCUCUCAGUUUAUUCCUGGAAUUUUCCAUCUAAUAUUUUCAGACCAUCGUUGAUUCCUAGCCGCUCAACUGCUGAGAGCAAACUUCAGCUGAGAUGGCAGGGGAGGGAGAACUGUAGCCAAGAAGAAAGGCAGAACAGAAAAGGAUAAAUUCUGCUUUCAAACGCCAGCUACUUCUCAGAGGGUAAGUCUUCAGAGUCUCUGGGUCCCCAGAGCACACAGGCUUUCCUUUGAUGACCCAAGGACAGGGCAGUAUCCAGUCUCUGUGAACACUGUUGGAGGCUCCCUUGUUUGCCAUGCCCCUUCAGCUAAGAAAAACAGCUCAGAAGCCUGGUUGGAUUAAAGGAGGCUUGAAGCCUUUCUCUAGAUUGAUGCGUCUGUGUUUCAAGAACAGAUCUCUGCUAAAGGAUCUCUUGCAAUUUAACCGGAAACAAUUCUGACAUAUAAGCCGAAAAUUCAUGAUAUUUAAAAAUAAUACAUCAGCAAAGGGACUUCUUUUUCCAAAACAAGUGUUUCCGUGCUGCGGAAAGAGACUAAAAUUGUAACCUCUGGGUCAGUCAGCAAAUGGAUGUUUCCAGGCACGGAUUUAUUAGCUGGUCCCUUUGUUCUGCUUAUCCUGGAUGACACACAGACAAAAUGAUGUGAUACUAAGUAGCGAAGAUUGACAGAAUCAGAUGUAUGAGCAAAAGGGAAGGAAAAGAACCCAGAGGUAAGGAAGCAUUUUAUACCCUAUGUGUUUUAUAAGCCUAUGUCCUGCCAUAGGACCCUUUCCUCUGACUCAUUAUGUGUGAAAUGGGACACCCAGCAUGGGCAACAACUGUCUUUCUCUGUGGUUCUGGAAUCCGCCAAGAACCCAUGAAGUUUUGCUUCCUUCAAAGCGGGAAUAAGCUGGGCAUCCUGGGGCCAAUGAAAGGACUUGGGAGAGAAGAGGUAUCUCCCUAGAAAAUGCUUUAAAUGAAAGUCCUCUUUCUCUAAGCAGUGCAUUCGCAGGACUAUCAGUCUGGAUAUUAUAAAACAGGAUCUUAGACGACUUUGUGAGCCUUUAGGAUGUAGCAUUGAAUCAGGAAGCUGGAACACAUUUCUCCACUACAAUAAAGCCAGCAGAGUACUCUAAUGCUAAUGUAAACGUGCAAACAACAAUAAAAGGCUCCUUGAAAAGGACCCCAGACUGGUUGGGUCCUGACUCUUCCAGGCAAAGCCAACUGUAGGAGAGGAAGGUCUCCUGUCUACAGAGUGAACAUUUGCCCGGAAAUUGCAUUUCUCCUUUCUCAGAAACAAGAUGUUUGGACAAAGCUUCAGGGAUUUUUUUUUUCAGGCAAAUAAUCCCUUCAGGUACAGGCCAGUUUGACCUUGGAUUGUGUGUGCCCAGUACUUUGAGCACCAUUUCUGGAAACCUCAUUAUAAAUCAAUAAACAGGACAUCCAUCCA